AUUGAACGCUGGCGGCAGGCCUAACACAUGCAAGUCGAACGGUAACAGGAAACAGCUUGCUGUUUCGCUGACGAGUGGCGGACGGGUGAGUAAUGUCUGGGAAACUGCCUGAUGGAGGGGGAUAACUACUGGAAACGGUAGCUAAUACCGCAUAACGUCGCGAGACCAAAGAGGGGGACCUUCGGGCCUCUUGCCAUCGGAUGUGCCCAGAUGGGAUUAGCUAGUAGGUGGGGUAACGGCUCACCUAGGCGACGAUCCCUAGCUGGUCUGAGAGGGUGAACGGCCACAAGGGGACUGAGACACGGCCCUU
RNAcentral lists this ribosomal RNA (310 nucleotides) under uncultured bacterium. RNAcentral describes it as "bacterial SSU rRNA". It matches the Rfam family "Bacterial small subunit ribosomal RNA", at positions 30 to 334 of the family's 1533-position model. The record is from RNAcentral.